GCACAAUCAUUCACACCUCGUACAAUAAUCUUUUGUACAAAACAUUCACAAAGCAAGCACAUUCACAUCUUCCAUGGUAAUGAAGACAAUCACACAAGCAUAUUAUUGAUUAUUUCAUUUGUAAAUGUGUGUGGGUCAGAGCUGGGAUGGAAGAGGGAAUGUUCAAAGAAGCAGUAAGUAGCUGUGGCAUUUGUGAAAACAGACAGGAAUGCUUUAAUAAAUUAAACAACUAAUAAUAUGCUUGUGUAACUGUCUUAGUUAUCACAGAUCAUUGGUCUGAGUUACAGCUAAGUGGCUUAAAGCAAGAAGAAUGUUACCUGCCUGACUGCAAUGUGCCAACUUUAAAGUUUUGCGGAGGAGGGAUAAUUGCACAAGGCUAUUUUUCAGGGGUAGUGUAGGACCCUUUAUUUCUAGUGAAGGGCAAUUUCAAUGCUUCAGCAUACCAAGACAUUUGAGACAAUGUUAUGCUUCCUAAUCUAUGGGAACAGUUUGGGGGAGGCCCUUUUCUAUUCCAGCUUUACGGUGCCCCAGUGUACAAAGCAAGGUCCAUAAAGACAUGGUUGGAUGAGUUUGGUGUGGAAGAACUUGACUGACCCUCACAGAGCCCUGACCUUAACCGCAUCGAACACCUUUGGGAUGAACUGGAAUGGAGAUUGUGAGCCAGAUCUUCUCAUGCAACAUCAGUACCUGAUCUCACAAAUACUCUACUGGAAGAAUGGGCUAAAUGUCACACAGAAAUACUCCAAAGUCUUGUGAAAAGUCUUCCCAGAAGAAUGGAAGCUGUAUGAGCUGCAAAAUACAAACUCCAUAUUAGUGUGUAUGUAUUUAGAAUGUGAUGUCAUAACAGUCCCUGUUGGUGUAAUGGCCAGGUAUCCCAAUACUUUUGUCCUUAUAGUAUAGCUACCUAUCAAUAUCUCCCUCCAUCCUAUUCUUCAU
This is a non-coding RNA of Pelobates cultripes (western spadefoot toad), 936 nucleotides long. The record is from the annotation of a GenBank genome assembly. NCBI's taxonomy places the organism in Eukaryota, Metazoa, Chordata, Amphibia, Anura, Pelobatidae.